RNAcentral lists this long non-coding RNA (1351 nucleotides) under Sus scrofa (pig). RNAcentral's name for it is "lncRNA (ENSSSCG00000051814.1, ENSSSCG00105015110.1)". The record is from RNAcentral. Lineage: Eukaryota; Metazoa; Chordata; Mammalia; Artiodactyla; Suidae.
UAUGGAGAUUCCCAGGCUAGGUUUCAAUCAGAGCUACAGCUGCUGGCCUACACCACAGCCACAGCAACGCAGGAUCUGAGCUGCGUCUGCAACCUACACCACAGCUCAGGACAACGCCAGAUCCUUAACCCAGGAUCGAACCCGCAACCUCAUGGCUCUUGGUCAGAUUUGUUUCUGCCGCACCACGAUGGGAACUCCGAAUUAAAGAAAUCUUAAUCUUAUACUACUGUGCUUUCCUAAAUUCUAAUAUCUCAACCAAUUUGUAGAAGCUACCUAAGGCUGCAGAAAGAUGAACACUAAAAGAUGAAUGUCAGCAUUUCAGCUUGAACAUUUUUUAUAUCUGCAUGAAUCAUAAUGUCAAAUUUUGAACUGCAUAAAAAUCGUCAGGUUGAGUUUUCAAAUUUAACAACAAAAAAUAGCCAUAAUAACUAUGCUAACAUUGCUUUUGAAGCAGUCAGUUAUAGGUAAUACGUGCCAUAAUUUUCCAACAGUUAUUAUGAGGCUUGAGGAAAAAAUGAUUUAAAAGCUGAGCAAAAAGUUCAUUAAAAUGUCUUAAAAAUGUUCUUUUACAGCAUCUCAAUUGUACAAAGCUUCCCAUCUGUGAAAAAGCAUUGCCAGCCCUGGUUUCUACUACUUGAUGCCUAUAGCUGAGACUUUCUUUUAAUUUAGGGGGCUAAAAAGGUAAGGCCAAAGAUAAUCUUAUGGCCUUGGGCGUAUAAGACAGACAUAAUUCUUUUUCAGCGAGAUGUGCAAAGGAUGAAAGCCCUGAAUUGUUCCACUAUUGCAGAGGUAAUGGUAGCUGAUUAAAGCCACAAUGCUCUCAGCUCUUCCCAGCAUUGGGAGGGGCUUUUCUGGAUCCCUGGAUGGGCUUUUCUGGAUCCCGGGAUGGACUACUCGAAGUUUAUGUUAAAGUAUGUAUGCAGGCAUAUGCACACCAUGAAGAGCUACUUACUCUUUUGAAUCUUUUUUUUUUUUUUUUCUACUUUCAAGCCUAUUUGAGUAUCCUUCUGGGUUCUACUUCUUUGUUCUAGUCUAUGGCCUGGGCAUUUCUAAGGCCUGUUCUUGCUUUUAAGCAUAAUCGCUAAUUUAAUAUUCACAAGGACUCUGUUUUCUAAGAGUUCACAAUUGAUUAAUGAGGAAGAGGAGGUACCUUCCUGAGCAUUUAAAUUCCAAUACAAGAUAGAACGAGUGUGUAAAGUGAAAUGGGAGAACAAAGGAAGGACAUGAGUAGAGAAUUUUGAAAAUAUGGGGGAAAGGACAUUUCUGAUGCUGAAGACAGUAAGAGCAAAACAACGCUGAAGUAUUGGGCACAAUGGGAAAGAGGAUCCACUUGAUAACAGAGGAGAAUGUU